GAUCGAGCAGAGACACAAAACCUUUGGCAUCACAACAAUGCAAAGUCAAAUCAUAAAUCAUGAUUAAGGCGAACCAAGUUAGGUAAAAGAAAGAGAUAAAAAAGUAUUAAUCAUGUUGCAUUAAUAUGCGGAGGUUUCUAUAUUUAUAUAAGAAAGGUACCGUCUCAUAUUAUCAAAAUAUACAUUAACUUCGACACCUAGUGAGUCUUGAGCAGCCACGAUUCCAAGGAUUAACAGCUUCUUAGAGAAGGCGGCGAUAGGAAACAAGACCGGAGACCUCUGGAUGGUGGAUUGUCAUAGCUGCAUCGAUUUGGAUCACCUCUUCCAUCACCACUAUGCCAAUUAGAGCCAAACAAAUUAACCAUGUUUUCAUGUUUGAGACUCCCAUGAUUGGUCUUGGGUUUC
This 405-nucleotide long non-coding RNA is filed under the name Gossypium raimondii (Peruvian cotton). RNAcentral's name for it is "long non-coding RNA (GRAI_LNC002127)". Lineage: Eukaryota; Viridiplantae; Streptophyta; Magnoliopsida; Malvales; Malvaceae. The record is from RNAcentral.